UACGUAGGGUGCGAGCGUUGUCCGGAAUUAUUGGGCGUAAAGGGCGCGUAGGCGGUUUGUUGCGUCUGGAGUGAAAACUCAGGGCUUAACUCUGAGCCUGCUUCCGAUACGGGCAGACUAGAGGUAUGCAGGGGAGAACGGAAUUCCUGGUGUAGCGGUGAAAUGCGCAGAUAUCAGGAGGAACACCAGUGGCGAAGGCGGUUCUCUGGGCAUUACCUGACGCUGAGGAGCGAAAGUGUGGGGAGCGAACAGG
RNAcentral lists this ribosomal RNA (253 nucleotides) under uncultured bacterium. Its description in RNAcentral is "partial 16S ribosomal RNA". It matches the Rfam family "Bacterial small subunit ribosomal RNA", at positions 524 to 776 of the family's 1533-position model. The record is from RNAcentral.